CAUGGUCUCUCAAUAUACGAGUAUCUCGCUACUUUAAUUCCUUGGUUCGAUCUGGUUGAGCUCCUUGGACUGGUUUUUUACUGCUCGAGCCGGUUUCGCCAAGUUUGCUGCAUCAAAGUUAAUCAACAUCAGGACUUCUCUUCUGCCACGUAAAUACCCAACUGCAUGUGAUUCCUUUGACUUUGUUUAUUUUGUUUUAUGGAAAAUUGAAAUGCAACAAAUUUACCAGCGUUACUUCU
This is a long non-coding RNA of Ananas comosus (pineapple), 239 nucleotides long. RefSeq lists it as uncharacterized. The record is from RefSeq and is a predicted model, not a curated record. Lineage: Eukaryota; Viridiplantae; Streptophyta; Magnoliopsida; Poales; Bromeliaceae. The transcript has 2 exons.